GCCAGCAGCCAUAUCACUCUGCAACUCACAACUGGCAACCCACUGAAGCUAAGCAGGUGUGAGCCUGGUCAGUACCUGGAUAGGAGACCUCCUGGGAAAAACUAAGGUUGCUGCUGGAA
This is a ribosomal RNA of Lepisosteus oculatus (spotted gar), 119 nucleotides long. NCBI's taxonomy places the organism in Eukaryota, Metazoa, Chordata, Actinopteri, Semionotiformes, Lepisosteidae. The record is from Ensembl.